Molecule: ribosomal RNA, 462 nt
Filed under: uncultured bacterium
Lineage: Bacteria
Description: partial 16S ribosomal RNA
Rfam family: Bacterial small subunit ribosomal RNA
Source: RNAcentral
AACAAACGCUGGCGGCGUGCCUAAUACAUGCAAGUCGAACGGGGAAAGUAGCAAUAUGAGUCCUAGUGGCGCACGGGUGAGUAACGCGUGGCUAAUCUGCCAUGAAGCGGGGGAUAACUAGUCGAAAGAUUAGCUAAUACCGCAUAAGACCACAAGAACUGAGGUUCAAGGGGUCAAAGGUUUUUCGCUUAAAGAUGAGUCCGCGUAAGAUUAGCUAGUUGGUGAGGUAAUGGCUCACCAAGGCAACGAUCUUUAACUGGUCUGAGCGGAUGAUCAGUCACACCGCAUCUGGGAGGCAGUCCAGGCGACUACGCGAGGAAGCAGGAGAGAAUAAUGCACCAAGGAGGAGUCUGUGAUGCAGCGCCGCCGCGUGAGAAAUGAUGGCAUUCGGGUCGAAAAGCUCUGUCGCAGGGGAAUAACACAAUGAAUGUACCCUGUAAGAAAGGAUCGGCUAACUUCGUG